CAGAAGCCUCCUCUCAGUCUCGCCCUGCCCUGGAUUUAGAGUCAUGCCCUGACUGUAAAGUGCGAGAUGUUCUUUGAUGUCUCUUCAGCAGUGCACGGCUCCUCUUCGCUGCUCCUCGCCAUCAUCUGCAGCAAUUUCCUAGAGCCAGAGGAGGGAUGUGUUUGGAGCAGGCCCCUUGCUGACAAGGUGUGAACAGAUUGAUGGCCGUCCCGUCCCACCUGGCGGCACAGGAAUACACGCAGCCUGAGCGGGCUGCCGGGAAUCCCCCUCCCAACCUGAGCCCUGCAGAAACAGGUUUUGGCUUUGAAUGAGAGCAGAGGUCACAUUCAGAAAGAGAGAAGGGUGUGUACAUGUGUGUAAGCGUGGUGGGAGCUCAGAAGAAUGUAAGUUUGGGAUCUGAAAGCAUCGCACUCCUGAACUAUGAUUAUUUAUUAUGCUGAUAGUGCCUAGAGGGCCCAGCCUCAUUGUGCUAAGGACUUCACAGGCACAGAAUGAAGAGACAGUCCCUGCCUGGAAGACGGAUGAGGAAAACCUACCUACAGGGGCUGGGAACAGGUGUGGCAUCUAUCCAUCACGCUGAUGGAGUGUGUUUGCAAGAUGGGUAUGUGAGCGUGUGCGAGUGUAGGGGAGACAGCAGGAGAAGGAGAAAGUUGGAUGGUGAUUUUAAUCUCUCUGGCUCUAAAGAAGGGUUUUAUUUUUUCUUUUAACCUCACCUUUCUUCUCCAGUAGUGAUUAUCCACAGGUGACACGGGAGAAAUAGGAAAACAGGAGGGCUGAACACUGCUGUUUCCCUGCAUCUCCAGCCAGCAGCGGCUGUGGGCUUCUUCUGAGCUCGUGGACUUCCUCCUCCAAGGCACUUCCAGCAGCAGUUACCUAGAGGAAAGCACAAGGGCAGACUGAGCGUGUUUCUUCGGAUAGUUUUACAGCAUGCUGGUGGCCAGCAGGAUUGUUUGAAGGAGGAGAAACCUGCUUCAUGCAUCCCAUGUCCCUGCAUCUUCUGGAAGCUGGACAGGUUCCGCAGCUCUCGAGGCCCUCUCCAAGCAGGAGUCCUGGGCUGAUGGAAGUGGGCAGUGUCUUCUCCAGAAGCACCCAGCCAGGAGCCAGCUAACAAAAGAAAUCCAGAGAAGAGCAAAAAGCGUUGUGUUUAUGAAGAACAAUUGAACAGGCCAGACAUCUCCAGCCUGUGAGGGAUACAGCAGAGGUCUAUAAAAUCAUGAGUGGCCUGGAAAAAAAUGAAUUGAUUGCUGCUCUUACCUGUUUCCAGAAAAAGCACUUUCAGAAGAAACCAAAGCUCCAGGAGCUCGUGUUCAAGAAGUGAAACGGAGCCAACAUCUGAUUAAGGCAGAUUCGGUCAGGUCAGGGAAAUGAGCUUCCCCAGGGACUUUCUACUGCUGCUGAAAGAGCUCAAGGUUUAAGACUCCUAUCUGCCCCACAGAAACAGAAAUGAUGGGAAUGUGGUUGCCACAGAUGAGGUAACAACAGCAAGCUGAAGUGGCUUUGAUUUAUUUUUUUUAUUCUUCUCAGUACAAGGGACAGCAGCAUAGGAGUACAUGCGAUAGUGGUGGUUGACCAGAGGUUUGUGCAGCGGUGACCUGAGAAAGCAUACUGAUACGAAUCAUAUGUGCAUGGAUGUGUACUUACAUACAUGUUUUUUUUAGCUACCUGUGGCUCAGUUUCAGAGAAGCUCAGCUCUGGUUCCCAUUACAGAUUUACUCAAGUGAAAAUUUGUUGGAAUGGAAAAAGAUUGGUAAUAACUAAAAAUAGCAGUUGACCUCUACUAUGUGUUUCCACCUAUGUUUACUUUUAAGACAGCGAUAAUGAUUAUUUGUGGAAUAUCUUCAAAUAAACAAGAAAGUGGGC
Molecule: long non-coding RNA, 1860 nt
Filed under: Gallus gallus (chicken)
Lineage: Eukaryota; Metazoa; Chordata; Aves; Galliformes; Phasianidae
Source: RNAcentral